RNAcentral lists this unclassified non-coding RNA (419 nucleotides) under Hevea brasiliensis (rubber tree). Lineage: Eukaryota; Viridiplantae; Streptophyta; Magnoliopsida; Malpighiales; Euphorbiaceae. The record is from RNAcentral.
CUCCCAAAAAAAAAAAAAAUCAUCCAUUAGUUUAAACCAAAAUGUCUAUAAGUAUCAAAUUUCCCACUUCAUCAAACUUCAACUUGAAAUAAAGGAACAGAACGCUACAAGGAGGCGGUAAAAUAUCUAUAUAUCACAUACAAACAAGCAGAGAAGCUUAAAACAUCCAUUGGCAUUAGUUUAAACCAAAGUGUCUAUAAGCAUCAAAUUUUCCAACGUCAUCAAACUUAAGCUUGAACUAAAGGAACAAACCACUACAAAGAGGAGGCAAAAUAUCUAUAUAUCACAUACAAACAAGCAGAGAAGCUUAAAACAUCCAUUGGCAUUAGUUUAAACCAAAGUGUCUAUAAGCAUCAAAUUUUCCAACGUCAUCAAACUUAAGCUUGAACUAAAGGAACAAACCACUACAAAGAGGAGGC